GUUCCCUUAAACGCUUCAU
Molecule: small nuclear RNA, 19 nt
Filed under: Arabidopsis thaliana (thale cress)
Lineage: Eukaryota; Viridiplantae; Streptophyta; Magnoliopsida; Brassicales; Brassicaceae
Description: snRNA_11757
Source: RNAcentral